UUUGCAUAUCAAAUAGCGGAGGAAAAGAAACUAACAAGGAUUCCCCUAGUAACGGCGAGUGAAGAGGGAAGAGCCCAAGUUUGAAAGCUGGCGUCUUCGGCGUCCGCAUUGUAAACUCGAGAAGCGUUUUCCGCGCCGGACCAAGCUCAAGUCCCUUGGAAUAGGGCAUCAUAGAGGGUGAGAGUCCCGUACUUGGCUUGGAGUCCCCGGGGCUUUGUGAUACGCUCUCCAAGAGUCGAGUUGUUUGGGAAUGCAGCUCAAAAUGGGUGGUAAAUGCCAUCUAAGGCUAAAUAUCGAGGAGAGACCGAUAGCGAACAAGUACCGUGAGGGAAAGAUGAAAAGAACUUUGGAAAGAGAGUUAAACAGUACGUGAAAUUGCCGGAAGGGAAGGGUAGGGAGUCAGAUAUGCUGUGCGGAUUCAGCCUUGUCUUUGGACUUGGUGUAUUUUCGUAUUGGCAGGCCAGCAUCGGUUUGUGCCGCUGGAUAUAGGCUUGGGGAAUGUGGCUUUGUCUUCGGUCAAAGUGUUAUAGCCCCUUGCUGAGUACAGCGGCAUGGACCGAGGCACGCAGCGCACCCUCUGGGCGGGCCCUC
Molecule: ribosomal RNA, 591 nt
Filed under: Fereydounia khargensis
Lineage: Eukaryota; Fungi; Basidiomycota; Ustilaginomycetes; Urocystidales; Fereydouniaceae
Description: eukaryotic LSU rRNA
Rfam family: Eukaryotic large subunit ribosomal RNA
Source: RNAcentral